This 79-nucleotide small nucleolar RNA is filed under the name Meriones unguiculatus (Mongolian gerbil). Its description in RNAcentral is "Small nucleolar RNA SNORA17 (ENSMUGG00000024596.1)". It matches the Rfam family "Small nucleolar RNA SNORA17", at positions 55 to 132 of the family's 132-position model. Rfam says of the family: snoRNA ACA 17 belongs to the H/ACA family of snoRNAs and is predicted to guide pseudouridylation of the 28S rRNA at positions U4659 and U4598. The record is from RNAcentral. Lineage: Eukaryota; Metazoa; Chordata; Mammalia; Rodentia; Muridae.
AUAGCAAAAAAAAAGAGAGACUAUGUCUACGGUCAGUGUUCUGAUCUGUGAACAUUUGAAUGAUUAGUAGCCUAACAUU